This is a small nucleolar RNA of Haemorhous mexicanus (house finch), 138 nucleotides long. RefSeq annotates it as U8 small nucleolar RNA. Lineage: Eukaryota; Metazoa; Chordata; Aves; Passeriformes; Fringillidae. The record is from RefSeq and is a predicted model, not a curated record. The transcript has a single exon.
UCGUCAGUGCGGUACAUCCUGACCUGCCCCGCCUUGCGGGCAGCGCGUGAUGAGCGCGUGCGUGAUGACGCGUAGUGAUUACGUCACGCCGGCGGCGCGGGCGGCUGCAACAAAGCCCGCGCCGCCUUCGACUCUGAC